This 397-nucleotide ribosomal RNA is filed under the name uncultured bacterium. RNAcentral describes it as "partial 16S ribosomal RNA". It matches the Rfam family "Bacterial small subunit ribosomal RNA", at positions 523 to 918 of the family's 1533-position model. The record is from RNAcentral.
CUACGUAGGGGGCGAGCGUUGUCCGGAAUGAUUGGGCGUAAAGGGCGCGUAGGCGGCCCGGUAAGUCUGGAGUGAAAGUCCUGUUUUUAAGAUGGGAAUUGCCUUGGAUACUGUCGGGCUUGAGUGCAGGAGAGGUAAGUGGAAUUCCCAGUGUAGCGGUGAAAUGCGCGGAGAUUGGGAGGAACACCAGUGGCGAAGGCGACUUACUGGACUGUAACUGACGCUGAGGCGCGAAAGUGUGGGGAGCAAACAGGAUUAGAUACCCUGGUAGUCCACACUGUAAACGAUGAAUGCUAGGUGUAGGGGGUAUCGACCCCUUCUGUGCCGCAGUCAACACAAUAAGCAUUCCGCCUGGGGAGUACGGCCGCAAGGUUGAAACUCAAAUGAAUUGACGUGG